RNAcentral lists this transfer RNA (73 nucleotides) under Streptomyces phage Sushi23. RNAcentral's name for it is "tRNA-Pro". It matches the Rfam family "tRNA". Rfam says of the family: Transfer RNA (tRNA) molecules are approximately 80 nucleotides in length. Their secondary structure includes four short double-helical elements and three loops (D, anti-codon, and T loops). Further hydrogen bonds mediate the characteristic L-shaped molecular structure. tRNAs have two regions of fundamental functional importance: the anti-codon, which is responsible for specific mRNA codon recognition, and the 3' end, to which the tRNAs corresponding amino acid is attached (by aminoacyl-tRNA synthetases). tRNAs cope with the degeneracy of the genetic code in two manners: having more than one tRNA (with a specific anti-codon) for a particular amino acid; and 'wobble' base-pairing, i.e. permitting non-standard base-pairing at the 3rd anti-codon position. The record is from RNAcentral. Lineage: Duplodnaviria; Heunggongvirae; Uroviricota; Caudoviricetes; Stanwilliamsviridae. RNAcentral also lists the same sequence under 17 other names.
CAGGUGCGGGGAAGAUGGUAAUCCGUUGGUUUUGGAAACCUAAGACACCCGGUUCGAUUCCGGGGCACCUGAC